CAGCAGCGCGAUGGCUCCAGCGGGGCGGCCGGCGAGAGCUCACAUUACAUCACCGCGGGCAGCACCGCCUCGGCUCAGCGCAGCUCGCGGGCACCGACAGGCUCGCACCGAGCCCCAGUGCAGCUCCUUACUCCAGCUGAAGGUCUCAUGCCGUGAGCUAAACCCCUCACAGGAAUUGGGCUUGGGCUGCUUACACACCUUCCCUAAGAAUAUUCAGCCGCACUGUAGCAAGAGACUCACAUUCCCCGAUUUGCUUAGAGAUACAAAGACUCUGCAUAAAUCUGCCUUGCAGAUGAUUUGAGAAUGAAACUUGAUCAUCCAUUCAUGCUGCUUACAAAGAAAGAUGAGACGACAGAUCUCAGAGGCAGAGGUGGAUGAACUGAAACUAUUAGCCUCCCAGGCACCUGCCACACACUCUGGUUCCAUCCAGGAUGGGUGCUGCCAUGGGAAUGGCACUUGAGCUGCUCCCACAGGUCCAGCCUGCUGCUCAGGAUCCUCUGCCCCUGUUCCAAGGAAUACCUGUGCCACAGGAGGGUGGAAUGUUGGCUCAGCUGCAGGAGGAACCCCAAAGCCCACCGCUGUCAACAAGAGCUCCAAGCAAGCACAGAGCUUUGCCAGCAUGAAAUCCCAUUUCCUGAGCAGUGACAAGUAUUGUGUGAAAAUUUUAUUUUCUUUGCAAACUCUAUCACUCUCUUAAAUCCUCGGAUUUUUUUUUUAUUUUUUUUUUUUUACCACUGCAAAGAAUAAAGCUCGAGAUAAAAGCAUCUGACCAGCCACAGCAAAAAUACAGUAAGAGGCCAUGAAAAGGAGCUUUUAUGCCCAAAUAUAUUUUAACACAACUGAAAAUGAACAGCUUGGCAGCAACAAAUAAAGGCUUUUCUAAUUCAGUGGUGUAUGAGUUAAAAGGUCACAUGAUGAUGGAUUUUUAGAAUUAAUUAAUUUAAUACAAUUAAUUUCCAUUCAUGAAAUAAACAGUUAACUGAAAAAAA
Molecule: long non-coding RNA, 989 nt
Organism: Parus major (Great Tit)
Lineage: Eukaryota; Metazoa; Chordata; Aves; Passeriformes; Paridae
Exons: 2
Source: RefSeq, a predicted model, not a curated record